RNAcentral lists this ribosomal RNA (1223 nucleotides) under Usnea florida. Its description in RNAcentral is "eukaryotic LSU rRNA". It matches the Rfam family "Eukaryotic large subunit ribosomal RNA", at positions 1 to 1138 of the family's 3401-position model. Lineage: Eukaryota; Fungi; Ascomycota; Lecanoromycetes; Lecanorales; Parmeliaceae. The record is from RNAcentral.
GACCUCGGAUCAGGUAGGGAUACCCGCUGAACUUAAGCAUAUCAAUAAGGGAGGAAAAGAAACCAACAGGGAUUGCCUCAGUAACGGCGAGUGAAGCGCAACAGCUCAAAUUUGAAAUCUGGCCCCGUCGGGGUCCGAGUUGUAAUUGUAGAGAGUGUUUCGGGUGAGACCACGGUCUAAGUCUAUUGGAACAUGGGUCAUAGAGGGUGAGAAUCCCGUAUGUGACCGUGGCUCGAGCCCAUGUGAGCCUCUUCGACGAGUCGAGUUGUUUGGGAAUGCAGCUCAAAAUGGGUGUAAAUUUCAUCUAAAGCUAAAUACUGGCUGGAGACGAUAGCGCACAAGUGAGUGAUCGAAAGAUGAAAAGCACUUGGAAAGAGAGUCAAAAAUACGUGAAUUGUUGAAAGGGAAGCGCUUGCAACCAGACCUGUCCGUAGGUGAUCACCGCUGUUCUCAGUGGUGCACUCGCUCUGCGAUCAGGCCAGCAUCGGUUCGGCGGUCGGAUAAAGGCCUUGGGAAUGUAGCUGCCUUCGGGGAGUCUUUAGCCCUCGGUGCAAUGCGGCCAGCCGGGACCGAGGACCGCGCUUCGGCAGGAUGCUGGCGUAAUGGCUGUAAGCGACCCGUCUUGAAACACGGACCAGGAGUCUAACAUCUAUGCGAGUGUUUGGGUGUUAAACCCAUGCGCGGAAGAAAGUGAACGGAGGUGAGAACCCUUUAGGGCGCAUCAUCGACCGAUCCGAUGUCUUCGGAUGGAUUUGAGUAUGAGCAUAGCUGUUGGGACCCGAAAAUGGUGAACUAUGCCUGAAUAGGGUGAAGCCAGAGGAAACUCUGGUGGAGCUCGCAGCGGUUCUGACGUGCAAAUCGAUCGUCAAAUUUGGGUAUAGGGUACGUGUUCUAUUCGAGAUGAUGAGAUGAGAUUUAAUGCUAAUUUUUUAUAUAGGCGAAAGACUAAUCGAACCAUCCCUUUAAUACGCUAUAGGUGGUAAUCAAAGUAUCUUGUUUCUCAAAUACUUUCAGUCCUUCGGGGCGACACACUACUUGCAUGAACAAACCUUUAGGUUGACAUGCUGCAGUUCUUCCCCUCGUGUGGGGCCUGUUCACAGACCAAAUAGUGGUGGCCGGGCUAUUUCUUUAUGAAUGCUCGGUUUAGAAAUGGCCGAGUCCUACUCUUAAUUGAGUGGUCCUGGGACGGUGGUGCAAUUUGGGCCCUCCCGUCGCGGGACCUU